Long non-coding RNA from Bactrocera neohumeralis, 1302 nucleotides. RefSeq lists it as uncharacterized. Lineage: Eukaryota; Metazoa; Arthropoda; Insecta; Diptera; Tephritidae. The transcript is spliced from 3 exons. The record is from RefSeq and is a predicted model, not a curated record.
CGCUGAUAACGAGUGAUGCAGCGGGGAAUGCUCAGACAACAGCUAAACAAAACUGUCUGCGACAAGGCGGCCAAGGUGUGGACACAAGUACAACAAUAAAAUAGAAAAUUAAAACAAUUAACAAGAAAUAUACGUUAAAGCAACAACAAUAAAUUAAACAAUACAAGUUUCAAAACAAACUGCUACAUCAACAAAUCGGCCAAAGUAAAUGACAACAAAAAAGUGAUGAUGAAAUCUUCACUUGGCCGAAAAUCAGCAGCGCAUCAGUUCGUAGGGCAUAUUUAUAAGCAUAUUGAAUGAGAGAUUGCUCACUCUUUUACAUGUAGGCCUGCUAAAUUGUGUUUGAAGUCGAAAUAGCACAAAGGAAUCGGAAGAAUUAAAGAAAUUGUGUUCGUAUCACCGCUAUUAAAUAAAGUCACGACGAGUUCCACAUAAAGAUUCAUUUAUAUUUACUUUCGUACUUAAGGCGUUUCAAGGCCGUGGUUAUAGUAAACUACAUACAUACACGUGUAUAAAUCUGCUUAUACAUACAUACAUAUUAUUAGGCUCAAUUCAUAAGUAUGUACAUACGUACACUGUAUAUGGGCAAACAAUGUGUGUAUAUAAUGUAGGGGUUUAUAAACAUUUUCAAGUGCGUAAUUUAAAUUCACGACAGCAACAUGUGCCAUAUAGAUGUUUAAAAAGGCCACGCUGUUAUUAUGGACAACUCAAAAUGCUCUCUUCAUAUGAAGUGUGCUAGUACUGAAGGCUAAUAUUAUCUACACAACUGUAGAAAUAUGCAUGUAUGUACAAAUGUAUAUACAUAUGUACUUAGAGGAAUAGUUCGAAAUCAUUCAGCACUUUUCGAAACGUUCUCACUAGCAUCAAGUAAAAUUUAGCAGGUAGAAAUUAUAGUAAAGCAAGUAGACGUCAUAUUUAUUUAACAUAGCAUGUGCUCGAAUAUAUACAAAUAUGUACAUAUGUACAUGUACUUCGUAUUUAACUUCAUAUGUUCUGUACACUACGGCAAACAUCCCUUCCCAAUGACUCGGUAGAAAAACCCAGUCAAUGGAUAGUUAAGGGCAACUUUAGGGAUAAGCAUUUGGCCAAAGCUAUACAUUAUGUUAUGCUCAAAUAUUCGUAGAUUUCACAGGUGUCUUCAAUAGCAACAGGGGGAGAUAAUGAAGAAACAGGUAAACAAUUAUAUGGUGUGAUAUUCGAAUCCUUGCAGAAAAAAGUUCCACCACACAACAUAACAGCAAUUAUGGCGCUGGUAAAGGUGGUGAAAAUCAACACACUAUAUCCGUAUUUUAUAGUAUAAAA